CACGGCGCACGGGUGCGUAACACGUGGGCAAUCUGCCCUCCGAUGGGGAAUAACUCCGGGAAACCGAAGCUAAUUCCGCAUAACAUUCCCUGGACUCCGGUUCGGGGAUUCAAAGCAGCAAUGCGUCGGAGGAGGAGCCCGCGCCCGAUUAGCUAGUUGGUGAGGUAACGGCUCACCAAGGCUAUGAUCGGUAGCUGGUCUGAGAGGACGGCCAGCCACACUGGAACUGAGACACGGUCCAGACUCCUACGGGAGGCAGCAGUGGGGAAUCUUGCGCAAUGGGCGAAAGCCUGACGCAGCGACGCCGCGUGGGGGAUGAAGCUUCUCGGAGUGUAAACCCCUUUCGACCGGGACGAAUGCCCGCAAGGGAGUGACGGUACCGGUAGAAGAAGCCCCGGCUAACUACGUGCCAGCAGCCGCGGUAAGACGUAGGGGGCCAGCGUUGUUCGGAAUUACUGGGUGUAAAGGGUUCGUAGGCGGUGUGGCAAGUCGGGAGUGAAAUUUCUGGGCUUAACCCAGAGGCUGCUUCCGAAGCUGCUGUGCUCGAGUGUGGGAGAGGCGCGUGGAAUUGCAGGUGUAGCGGUGAAAUGCGUAGAUAUCUGCAGGAACACCCGUGGCGAAAGCGGCGCGCUGGACCACUACUGACGCUGAGGAACGAAAGCUAGGGGAGCAAACAGGAUUAGAUACCCUGGUAGUCCUAGCCCUAAACGAUCAGGACUUGGGGUGUCGCCCGUUCGGGCGUCGUCCCGGAGCUAACGCGUUAAGUCCUGCACCUGGGGAGUACGGUCGCAAGACUGAAACUCAAAGGAAUUGACGGGGGCCCGCACAAGCGGUGGAACAUGUGGUUCAAUUCGA
RNAcentral lists this ribosomal RNA (855 nucleotides) under uncultured bacterium. Its description in RNAcentral is "bacterial SSU rRNA". It matches the Rfam family "Bacterial small subunit ribosomal RNA", at positions 94 to 954 of the family's 1533-position model. The record is from RNAcentral.